CCCCCAGUCCCGAGACGCGCGCGCGGGCCCAGAGCGUGGGCUGCGGCUCCCGGGCCGCCUCGCCCUGCGGACGCCGCAAACAAGUGCGUCUGUUAUUACCAUUUGUGAAAGUGCAGAAGGUGUUUUAACGCUCACGGCCCGUAUCUCUCUGUGCGGAAAAAUCUGUUCAGAGGUUUAUUGAGGUUUUGAAGUUUGAUUUCAUUAUUUCAUCUUUAAAGUCGUAGUCACUUAUGCGUUUGAAUGCUUUUAGUAUUUAUGGAGCGCCUACUGCGUGCCAGGCCGUAGGUGCUGGGGACACAUUUGGGCGCCAAGAGCAGAAGUGCCCGCCUGCCGGGAGUUACGUCAUCAGUACCUAAGCUUACGUAAUGCAGAUAACUCGUCCCAACCCUUCCAUAGGACCAAGGGACAUGUCUGAACAGGGGAUGCUUCCACCAGCCUGGGGCUGCACAGAAGCUUCCCUGGAAGGCGCAGCCCAACCAUGUGGCAGCCCAGCCAGCACAUCCAUCCAGCAGAGGCCCACUCCCCCGAUGUCACUUACGUUGAUGAUGACCGCGAGCUUCCCGACGCCUCUGAGAAUAUUGUACCAGAUUCCUGGGGGAGAAGAGAAGCACAGUUUCAAGACGGCUCUUGCACCUGGCUCUCAGGUUGACCCUAUGUGGAUGCAUCAAAUAAGAUCAGAGCCCCAGCGGCAGGGCAGCAGAAAAGGAGGGAAAUGCUGCUCAAUAACAUCUGCUUGCACCGGGUCUGCUGUGUGGACGGACUGGGAAAGCAGCACAGGACACGCUCUUACCUCCUCCAUCCGGAAAGAACGGAAAAUGUAGACAUAGUCGCCUGGGCGCCCGACGAACCUGCAACGAGUGGGGGCAGUGGCAGGGAAGGGUCGGCGCGGGGAGACUGGGGCAGGGCUGCAGCCCGCCUCGAGUGGCCCACAGGCUCUGGCAGCUGAGCCACGACCCCUGGGGUGUGCUGUGGUAGCACCUUCCACAGACUCUCAAACUCCAGAGGCGUUAUAGGAGGUCCAGGCGUGGAGUGUACCCCUGCACCAGCCGGGAAGCACCAAGCUGGCUGUGGCUGUGCUCUUUCCACCUGCACCUGUGGCCCCGACCCCCGUGAGCCACCUUGCCCUACUGUGGGAGCUCCUGGAGCUCGCUGCCUGGGGCCCUGCUGUCUGGGGUCUCUGCUGUCUGGGGCCCUGCUGCCCGGGGCCCUGCUGUCUGGGGUCCCUGCUGCCCUGUGGCCCUACUGCCUGGGGCCCUGCGGUCUGGGGUCCCUGCUGUCUGGGGUCCCUGUUGCCUGGGGUCCCUGCUUCUGGGGCCCCUGCUGCCCGGGGCCUUGCUGUCUGGGGUCCCUGCUGUCUGGGGCCCUGCUGCCCGGGGCCCUGCUGUCUGGGGUCCCUGCUGUCUGGGUCCCUGCUGUCUGAGGUCCUUGCUGUCUGGGGCCCUACUGCCUGGGGCCCUGCUGUCUGGGGUCCCUGC
This is a long non-coding RNA of Canis lupus familiaris (dog), 1475 nucleotides long. RefSeq lists it as uncharacterized. The transcript has 3 exons. Lineage: Eukaryota; Metazoa; Chordata; Mammalia; Carnivora; Canidae. The record is from RefSeq and is a predicted model, not a curated record.